This 253-nucleotide ribosomal RNA is filed under the name uncultured bacterium. RNAcentral describes it as "partial 16S ribosomal RNA". It matches the Rfam family "Bacterial small subunit ribosomal RNA", at positions 524 to 776 of the family's 1533-position model. The record is from RNAcentral.
UACGUAGGGGGCAAGCGUUGUCCGGAAUCAUUGGGCGUAAAGCGCGCGUAGGCGGCCCGGUAAGUCCGCUGUAAAAGUCCAGGGCUCAACCCUGGAAAGCCGGUGGAAACUGUCGGGCUAGAGUCCGGAAGAGGCGAGUGGAAUUCCUGGUGUAGCGGUGGAAUGCGCAGAUAUCAGGAGGAACACCGAUGGCGAAGGCAGCUCGCUGGGACGGUACUGACGCUGAGGAGCGAAAGCGUGGGGAGCGAACAGG